RNAcentral lists this ribosomal RNA (403 nucleotides) under Verrucomicrobiota bacterium. Its description in RNAcentral is "Verrucomicrobia bacterium partial 16S ribosomal RNA". It matches the Rfam family "Bacterial small subunit ribosomal RNA", at positions 355 to 776 of the family's 1533-position model. The record is from RNAcentral. Lineage: Bacteria; Pseudomonadati; Verrucomicrobiota.
UGGGGAAUAUUGCACAAUGGGGGAAACCCUGAUGCAGCGACGCCGCGUGAGCGAAGAAGGUUUUCGAAUCGUAAAGCUCUGUCCUAUGAGAAGAUAAUGACGGUAUCAUAGGAGGAAGCCCCGGCUAAAUACGUGCCAGCAGCCGCGGUAAUACGUAUGGGGCGAGCGUUGUCCGGAAUUAUUGGGCGUAAAGGGUACGUAGUCGUUUUAUUACGUCAGGUGUGAAAGCGUUAGGCUUAACCUCAUUAAGCACUUGAAACUGAUAGACUUGAGUGAAGGAGAGGAAAGUGGAAUUCCUAGUGUAGCGGUGAAAUGCGUAGAUAUUAGGAGGAAUACCGGUGGCGAAGGCGACUUUCUGGACUUUUACUGACGCUCAGGUACGAAAGCGUGGGGAGCAAACAGG